GCUGCUAAAGCAAAAAUUAAAGUAUGCUAACCUUUGUGUUUCUUUUUUUAUUUCAGUAGUUGUUGAGAAGCUAAAAUAAAUCUAGAUUAUGGCUUUUUAAAUGGAUGGAGCUGGAAACCCACUUAACAGACAAGAAGCAUCUACAUAUACUACUGAAUGUUUAAAGGAUACACAAACAAAAACUUGUGUAGAGUCUAAAGGAUUGUUUCUCUACUACACCUCCUCUACCUUACGGCUGUCACAAGAGCCACCCUAGAGGUACCUCGGGUUAAUAUUCUGCCCCAGAGCUACAACUUCUUACUUUGCCCACCUCUGCCCUUAAGCUACCGCUCUAGAAAGCCUGCAGCUACUACACUUACUUGACAUCAUUUUGUAAGUAUACCGUUCUCUCUGGCAUCUCCAGAGGAGGAGACAGCUCAUCAGUCACAGGAACACCACAAAACUUGUAGGGAGAUAGCAAGCUGACUGGGAGACAGUAACUCUUUGUUUCCACCACCACCACCCCAGGGAGCUACAGCCGGGGAAAAUAUAUGUUGGGAAUGUGAAAGGUGCCCCUGGUCAGUUGUCCAGCUUGCCAACAUGUGUACACUCCCUGCCUAGCCCAAAUCACAGUGCUGCGUGUUUGACACCCACCCACUGUGGAACGUAGAUGGGCACCUCUAACAAUCCUGGUUCUGCAAACAAAGACCAGCAGAUUUUUUAAAAAGAAAAGGAAGUAAUAAUGAGGGGUGGGGGUGGGUGAGGACAAUGUCUUGUACUCCUAUGAUCUAUCCAGUCAAAGCCCACAUGAGAGAGUCAUGCAUCCAUUCCACAUUCUCUGACACAGACACACAGACAGUUCUUACUGUAAUGAAAACUCAGUGGAGCUACCUAAAAGAAAAGCAAGACAAUUCUAGAAUGCAAUCGUCUAACCAGCGAUGUAUCACCUUCUCUUUGCCAUAGCUGCUCGGUUGGGUGGCAAUGGGAAUUUCCAGGAGAGGUUUGGGUUUUCAUGGGGACUUUGGCUGCCAAUUCCCUGGCUUUGGUGCUUCCUUCUUUUGCUACAGCAUCCAGCACCAAGUAUCUUUAUUCAAACUGCAACUCUUUAAACCCCAGGAAUGCCAGUUUCAGCGAUUUCGUUGACCCAAACAUGGCUGGAUCUUUUGUGAAUUGCUUGGUAUCUGUGAAGCUCAGAAGCACACCUAGUGGAAAGGGUAAAGGGAACAAUGAGAAGGAGAGACAGCUCGGUGUUCAUGGAUGUUUUCCAUCCAUCCAUCCAUCCCCAUUGGAACAACAGCUAACGAGCACCGAUCUUGAUUGAACUGGCUUCUGUUCUUCCUUCAGACGUAUAUUAGGCUCCUGAUUGUUCCAGGAAAAGCUCUCUGCAAUCUUGCACAUUCCGCCUCUUAGCCAUGCAAAAAUCGCAUUGCUAAGCCAUCAAUGUAUUUUGUCCCCAAGGCAGAAGAUAGUAUAUAGCAACAAUCUCGCCACUUCCAGUACAGAAGCUGACUG
This 1491-nucleotide long non-coding RNA is filed under the name Pogona vitticeps (central bearded dragon). RNAcentral's name for it is "lncRNA (ENSPVIG00000007849.1)". The record is from RNAcentral. Lineage: Eukaryota; Metazoa; Chordata; Lepidosauria; Squamata; Agamidae.